Molecule: ribosomal RNA, 320 nt
Filed under: uncultured eukaryote
Lineage: Eukaryota
Description: partial 18S ribosomal RNA
Rfam family: Eukaryotic small subunit ribosomal RNA
Source: RNAcentral
CCCCUAGAUGUUCUGGGCCGCACGCGCGCUACACUGAACAGUUCAACAAGUCUUAACCUUGGCCGAUAGGUCUGGGUAAUCUUUGAACGCUGUUCGUGAUGGGGAUAGACCUUUGCAAUUAUGGGUCUUCAACGAGGAAUUCCUAGUAAACGCAAGUCAUCAGCUUGCAUUGAUUACGUCCCUGCCCUUUGUACACACCGCCCGUCGCACCUACCGAUUGAAUGGUCCGGUGAAAUCUCGGGACGGCGGCUUGGUCGCUUGCGUCCGACUGCUGAAACUUGAUUAAACCAUAUCAUUUAGAGGAAGGUGAAGUCGUANCA